AAGUCAAAGUACUAACCCAUACCUAUAAAGCAUUGACCAAUUCUAGCCCCUUCUAUAUCGCUUCAAUGAUCCGCAGGUAUACCCCUUCUAGGUCUCUCCGCUCUUCCCAUGACCUUCUCCUGUCUGCUGCUCGCACCCAUAUGGCCAACUCACGCUUGCAGGACUUCUUGCGGGUGGCUCCUUUCCUUAGGAAUAGCCUGCCUACACCCAUCAGACUCUCCCCUAGUCUUCAAUAAUUUAAAAAGUGCCUCAAAACCCAU
Pelobates cultripes (western spadefoot toad) is the source of this 260-nucleotide non-coding RNA. NCBI's taxonomy places the organism in Eukaryota, Metazoa, Chordata, Amphibia, Anura, Pelobatidae. The record is from the annotation of a GenBank genome assembly.